GACGAACGCUGGCGGCGUGCUUAACACAUGCAAGUCGAACGGAAAGGCCCUGCUUUUGUGGGGUUCUCGAGUGGCGAACGGGUGAGUAACACGUGUGUAACCUGCCCUUUACUUUGGGAUAACUUCAUGAAACUCGGGCUAAUACCGGAUAUGAUCUCCUGCUGCAUGGUGUGGGUUGGUAAGUUUCGGCGUUUGGGGAUGGACUCGCGGUUUAUCAGCUUGUUGGUGGGGUAGUGGCUUACCAAGGCUUGGACGGGUAGCCGGCCUGAGAGGGUGACCGGCCACAAUGGGACGGAGAUAGGGCCAAGAGUGAUACGGGAGGCAGGAGUGGGGAAUAUUGCAAAAUGGGCGGAAGCAGUAUGCAGGAACGCCGGGUGCGGGAUGACGGCCUGCGGGUUGGAAAGCGGGUUCGACUGGGAAGAAGAGUGAGUGACGGUAAUGGGUAAAGAAGCACCGGCUAACUACGUG
Molecule: ribosomal RNA, 468 nt
Filed under: uncultured bacterium
Lineage: Bacteria
Description: partial 16S ribosomal RNA
Rfam family: Bacterial small subunit ribosomal RNA
Source: RNAcentral